AGAGUUUGAUCCUGGCUCAGAACGAACGCUGGCGGCAGUAACACAUGCAAGUCGAACGCACCUUCGGGUGAGUGGCAGACGGGUGAGUAACGCGUGGGAACGUGCCCUUCAGUUCGGAAUAACCCAGGGAAACUUGGGCUAAUACCGGAUACGUGCGAGAGCAGAAAGAUUUAUCGCUGAAGGAUCGGCCCGCGUCUGAUUAGCUAGUUGGUGGGGUAAUGGCCCACCAAGGCGACGAUCAGUAGCUGGUCUGAGAGGAUGAUCAGCCACAUUGGGACUGAGACACGGCCCAAACUCCUACGGGAGGCAGCAGUGGGGAAUAUUGGACAAUGGGCGCAAGCCUGAUCCAGCCAUGCCGCGUGAGUGAUGAAGGCCUUAGGGUUGUAAAGCUCUUUCGGCGGGGACGAUAAUGACGGUACCCGCAGAAGAAGCCCCGGCUAACUUCGUGCCAGCAGCCGCGGUAAUACGAAGGGGGCUAGCGUUGUUCGGAAUCACUGGGCGUAAAGGGCGCGUAGGCGGCUUGAUAAGUCGGGGGUGAAAGCCUGUGGCUCAACCACAGAAUUGCCUUCGAUACUGUCUGGCUUGAGACCGGAAGAGGUAGGUGGAACUGCGAGUGUAGAGGUGAAAUUCGUAGAUAUUCGCAAGAACACCAGUGGCGAAGGCGGCUUACUGGUCCGGUUCUGACGCUGAGGCGCGAAAGCGUGGGGAGCAAACAGGAUUAGAUACCCUAGUAGUCC
RNAcentral lists this ribosomal RNA (737 nucleotides) under uncultured bacterium. RNAcentral's name for it is "bacterial SSU rRNA". It matches the Rfam family "Bacterial small subunit ribosomal RNA", at positions 8 to 796 of the family's 1533-position model. The record is from RNAcentral.